UUAUCAGACUUGUUACAAGGUUGUUCUAACAAGUCUGAUACAGUCAUGACAUAAUUAUAGCAAGAAUGUUACAAGGUUGACGACACAAGCUUGUGACAAUAUUGUUAUAUCAUGACUGUCUCGGAGUUGUUGGAACAACCUUGCUACAAGUCUGAUAA
Paramuricea clavata is the source of this 158-nucleotide non-coding RNA. Lineage: Eukaryota; Metazoa; Cnidaria; Anthozoa; Malacalcyonacea; Plexauridae. The record is from the annotation of a GenBank genome assembly.